UUUGCACUCUUUGGUGUUUUCCAGUAAUUUAUUCUUUUUUUGUUGUUGUUGUUCUGUUGAUUUUACAGUUGUCUACUCAAUGGGUCACAGUUGUUCCUGCUAUACUCACCAUUCUUAGAUGACAUGCUACCGCCUUUCGUGUGACACGUUUAGCAACACAUUUACAUUUAAAUGGCUCUGGACGGCUGUAUGGACUGCAUGUGGCCAUUGUGAUGCUAAGAAAAAAAAUACACAGAAAGGACUGCUCAGUGGAUCAA
Molecule: long non-coding RNA, 257 nt
Organism: Sinocyclocheilus rhinocerous
Lineage: Eukaryota; Metazoa; Chordata; Actinopteri; Cypriniformes; Cyprinidae
Exons: 4
Source: RefSeq, a predicted model, not a curated record